CCUACGGGUGGCAGCAGUAGGGAAUAUUGCUCAAUGGGCGAAAGCCUGACGCAGCAACGCCGCGUGGAGGAUGAAGGUUUUCGGAUUGUAAACCUCUUUUGUUAGAGAAGAUCAUGACGUUAUCUAACGAAUAAUCACCGGCUAACACCGUGCCAGCAGCCGCGGUACUACGGAGGGUGCAAGCGUUACUCGGAAUCACUGGGCGUAAAGAGCGCGUAGGCGGGAUAGCAAGUCAGAGGUGAAAUCCUUUGGCUUAACCAUAGAACUGCAUUUGAAACUGUUAUUCUAGAGUGUGUGGGAGGUAGGUGGAAUUCUUGGUGUAGGGGUGAAAUCCGUAGAGAUCAAGAGGAAUACUCAUUGCGAAGGCGACCUGCUAGAACAUAACUGACGCUGAGGCGCGAAAGCGUGGGUAGCAAACAGGAUUAGAUACCCGUGUAGUC
Molecule: ribosomal RNA, 440 nt
Filed under: uncultured bacterium
Lineage: Bacteria
Description: partial 16S ribosomal RNA
Rfam family: Bacterial small subunit ribosomal RNA
Source: RNAcentral